Molecule: small nuclear RNA, 164 nt
Filed under: Cebus imitator (Panamanian white-faced capuchin)
Lineage: Eukaryota; Metazoa; Chordata; Mammalia; Primates; Cebidae
Description: U1 spliceosomal RNA (ENSCCAG00000007524.1)
Rfam family: U1 spliceosomal RNA
About the family: U1 is a small nuclear RNA (snRNA) component of the spliceosome (involved in pre-mRNA splicing). Its 5' end forms complementary base pairs with the 5' splice junction, thus defining the 5' donor site of an intron.
Source: Rfam by way of RNAcentral
AUACUUACCUGGCAGGGGAGAUACCAUGAUCACGAAGGUGGUUUUCCCAGGGCGAGGCUUAUCCAUUGCACUCCGGAUGUGCUGACCCCUGAGAUUUCCCCAAAUGUGGGAAACUCGACUGCAUAAUUUGUGGUAGUGGGGGACUGUGUUCAUGCUCUCCCCUG